This 88-nucleotide transfer RNA is filed under the name Longispora fulva. RNAcentral's name for it is "tRNA-Trp". Lineage: Bacteria; Bacillati; Actinomycetota; Actinomycetes; Micromonosporales; Micromonosporaceae. The record is from RNAcentral.
GCCCGCCUGGGCCGGCACGCUCACGGCGUUCCACGCGGCGCGGACCGCGGUGAACUCCGCGCAGCUGUUCGGGAACAGUUGGCGGGCC